GACGAACGCUGGCGGCGUGCUUAACACAUGCAAGUCGAACGGAAAGGCCCUGCUUUUGUGGGGUGCUCGAGUGGCGAACGGGUGAGUAACACGUGAGUAACCUGCCCUUGACUUUGGGAUAACUUCAGGAAACUGGGGCUAAUACCGGAUAGGAGCUCCUGCUGCAUGGUGGGGGUUGGAAAGUUUCGGCGGUUUGGGAUGGACUCGCGGCUUAUCAGCUUGUUGGUGGAGUAGUGGCUUACCAAGGGUUUGACGGGUAGCCGGCCUGAGAGGGUGGCCGGCGACAUUAGGACUGAGAUACGGCCCAGACUCCUACGGGAGGCAGCAGUGGGAAGUCUUACACAAUGGGCGGGAGCCUGAUGCGGCAGCGCCGCGUUCGGGAUGCCGGCCUUCGGGUUAUAAACCGCUUUCGCAUGUGACGAAGCGUGAGUGACGGUAAUGGGUAAGGAAGCACCGGCUAACUACGUG
Molecule: ribosomal RNA, 468 nt
Filed under: uncultured bacterium
Lineage: Bacteria
Description: partial 16S ribosomal RNA
Rfam family: Bacterial small subunit ribosomal RNA
Source: RNAcentral